ACAGAAAUUACAUUGAUGAUUGUGGAUAACUCUGUGCGUAAAAAGGUAUAAAGCGGGGUUUUGCUGGGGAAUGCAGCAGUCAGUCAUUUUUCUGCAAUUUUUCUAUUGCGGCCUGCGGAGAACUCCCUAUAAUGCGCCUCCAUCGACACGGCGGAUGUGAAUCACUUCACACAAACAGCCGGUUCGGUUGAAGAGAAAAAUCCUGAAAUUCAGGGUUGACUCUGAAAGAGGAAAGCGUAAUAUACGCCACCUCGCGACAGUGAGCUGAAAGCCGCGUCGCAACUGCUCUUUAACAAUUUAUCAGACAAUCUGUGUGGGCACUCGAAGAUACGGAUUCUUAACGUCGCAAGACGAAAAAUGAAUACCAAGUCUCAAGAGUGAACACGUAAUUCAUUACGAAGUUUAAUUCUUUGAGCAUCAAACUUUUAAAUUGAAGAGUUUGAUCAUGGCUCAGAUUGACCGCUGGCGGCAGGCCUAACACAUGCAAGUCGAACGGUAACAGGAAAGCUUGCUUUUGCUGACGAGUGGCGGACGGGUGAGUAAUGUCUGGGAAACUGCCUGAUGGAGGGGGAUAACUACUGGAAACGGUAGCUAAUACCGCAUAACGUCGCAAGACCAAAGAGGGGGACCUUCGGGCCUCUUGCCAUCGGAUGUGCCCAGAUGGGAUUAGCUGUGGUGGGGUAACGGCUCACCUAGGCGACGAUCCCUAGCUGGUCUGAGAGGAUGACCAGCCACACUGGAACUGAGACACGGUCCAGACUCCUACGGGAGGCAGCAGUGGGGAAUAUUGCACAAUGGGCGCAAGCCUGAUGCAGCCAUGCCGCGUGUAUGAAGAAGGCCUUCGGGUUGUAAAGUACUUUCAGCGGGGAGGAAGGGAGUAAAGUUAAUACCUUUGCUCAUUGACGUUACCCGCAGAAGAAGCACCGGCUAACUCCGUGCCAGCAGCCGCGGUAAUACGGAGGGUGCAAGCGUUAAUCGGAAUUACUGGGCGUAAAGCGCACGCAGGCGGUUUGUUAAGUCAGAUGUGAAAUCCCCGGGCUCAACCUGGGAACUGCAUCUGAUACUGGCAAGCUUGAGUCUCGUAGAGGGGGGUAGAAUUCCAGGUGUAGCGGUGAAAUGCGUAGAGAUCUGGAGGAAUACCGGUGGCGAAGGCGGCCCCCUGGACGAAGACUGACGCUCAGGUGCGAAAGCGUGGGGAGCAAACAGGAUUAGAUACCCUGGUAGUCCACGCCGUAAACGAUGUCGACUUGGAGGUUGUGCCCUUGAGGCGUGGCUUCCGGAGCUAACGCGUUAAGUCGACCGCCUGGGGAGUACGGCCGCAAGGUUAAAACUCAAAUGAAUUGACGGGGGCCCGCACAAGCGGUGGAGCAUGUGGUUUAAUUCGAUGCAACGCGAAGAACCUUACCUG
This 1408-nucleotide ribosomal RNA is filed under the name Escherichia coli 174900. RNAcentral describes it as "partial 23S ribosomal RNA". The stretch from base 428 to 1408 matches the Rfam family "Bacterial small subunit ribosomal RNA", at positions 1 to 977 of the family's 1533-position model. The record is from RNAcentral. Lineage: Bacteria; Pseudomonadati; Pseudomonadota; Gammaproteobacteria; Enterobacterales; Enterobacteriaceae.